CGUUAUGGCGGGCUGUGCGCGGGACACCCUCGGGUGUGCCGGGUUCCUUUGCUCCCGGUCGGCCAACCCGCGUACAGUUCGCCUCCAUC
Molecule: non-coding RNA, 89 nt
Filed under: Azotobacter vinelandii
Lineage: Bacteria; Pseudomonadati; Pseudomonadota; Gammaproteobacteria; Pseudomonadales; Pseudomonadaceae
Source: RNAcentral